GGAUGUGAGGGCGAUCUGGCUGUGACAUCUGUCACCCCAUUGAUCGCCAGGGUUAAUUUGGCUGAUAUGGCUGGCUAGGCGGGUGUCCCCUUCCUCCCUCACCACUCCAUGUGCUUCCCUCCCAAAGAUGCGCUCUCGGUCAAAGAGGACCACCGUCCCUGAAUAGAGGAGGACUGGUCUUCGGUUAAGGGUAUACGAGUAGCUGCACUCCCCUGCUAGAACCUCCAAACAAGCUCUCAAGGACCAUGUCACUUUAGAAUGAUGCAACAUUGUGAUGACCUUGGGAAGGAGCAUUAGUAAAUGUCUUUCUAGUGAUUCAUGAGCUCCAGAAACCUUUU
Molecule: small nuclear RNA, 338 nt
Filed under: Jaculus jaculus (lesser Egyptian jerboa)
Lineage: Eukaryota; Metazoa; Chordata; Mammalia; Rodentia; Dipodidae
Description: 7SK RNA (ENSJJAG00000007149.1)
Rfam family: 7SK RNA
About the family: 7SK was discovered as an abundant small nuclear RNA in the mid-70s but a possible function has only recently been suggested. Two independent studies have found that 7SK RNA binds the CDK9/cyclin T complex (known as elongation factor P-TEFb).
Source: RNAcentral